Bos taurus (domestic cattle) is the source of this 73-nucleotide non-coding RNA. The record is from Rfam. NCBI's taxonomy places the organism in Eukaryota, Metazoa, Chordata, Mammalia, Artiodactyla, Bovidae.
UCCCUGGUAGCUCAGAAGUUAAAGCAUCUGCCUGGAAUGUGGGAGACCGGGGUUCAAUCCCUGGGUCGGGGAG